AGAAUACUGGCAGAGGGAAGCCAGAUUCAUUUCGGAUAGCUGCUCUGCUCUAUCAGCUAGAGAACAGGCUCCAUAAUUUUCAAAGAGCUUCAGACUGCUUUCAGGUGCCUUCACCACAACUGCUUUUAUUGCAGAAUAACCACGCUAGCUGAGCUGGCUUUUGCCGACAGUCGUUUGCUAUCUUUGAUCUUUACCACAGACUUUAGGAAAAUGUUUCAAAAAUUCCCUUUCAGGUAACUUUGAGACGAGAAAGAAAAACAAGGCAACCCAGGAUGAGGAGCGGAAAAGCAGAACACGGCUGGCCGAUCGUGUGCAGCGUGGGGGACAUUGAACUGAAAACGAUCCGUUUGCCACG
This 355-nucleotide long non-coding RNA is filed under the name Apteryx rowi (Okarito brown kiwi). RNAcentral's name for it is "lncRNA (ENSARWG00000015500.1)". Lineage: Eukaryota; Metazoa; Chordata; Aves; Apterygiformes; Apterygidae. The record is from RNAcentral.